Molecule: ribosomal RNA, 253 nt
Filed under: uncultured bacterium
Lineage: Bacteria
Description: partial 16S ribosomal RNA
Rfam family: Bacterial small subunit ribosomal RNA
Source: RNAcentral
UACGUAGGGGGCAAGCGUUGUCCGGAAUCAUUGGGCGUAAAGAGCGUGUAGGCGGCUCGAUAAGUCUGCUGUGAAAGUCCAGGGCUCAACCCUGGAAAGCCGGUGGAUACUGUCGGGCUAGAGUCCGGAAGAGGCGAGUGGAAUUCCUGGUGUAGCGGUGGAAUGCGCAGAUAUCAGGAGGAACACCGAUGGCGAAGGCAGCUCGCUGGGACGGUACUGACGCUGAGGCCCGAAAGCGUGGGGAGCGAACAGG